GUGCUUGCUUUGGCAGCACAUAUGCUAAAAUUGGAACGAUACAGAGAUUAGCAUGGCCCCUGCGCAAGGACGGCACGAAAGUGUCUGGGUUUAUGGAUACAUAC
Ochotona princeps (American pika) is the source of this 104-nucleotide small nuclear RNA. The record is from RefSeq and is a predicted model, not a curated record. NCBI's taxonomy places the organism in Eukaryota, Metazoa, Chordata, Mammalia, Lagomorpha, Ochotonidae.